Long non-coding RNA from Ricinus communis (castor bean), 3662 nucleotides. RefSeq lists it as uncharacterized. The record is from RefSeq and is a predicted model, not a curated record. The transcript is spliced from 3 exons. Lineage: Eukaryota; Viridiplantae; Streptophyta; Magnoliopsida; Malpighiales; Euphorbiaceae.
UCUCAUUAGUCAACAAAUAAUUAUCAAAUGACAAGUUGAACAAUACAUAUGGAUUAAAAAACAAACAAAAAAGAAAAUCAAGGACUUUUCUGGUUGUUGGCUUGUACGAGCAUUUGUGUUGCUUGUACUGAUUUUGGUGUUGGCCAGUACGAAUUCUGAAGCAGCUACCCUUCCCUGUUCAACUAACAGAUCUAACAUUUGUUUACAUAUGCAUGUUUCUUUGUUUCUAUUAUAAAGAAGAGCUGCAAGCAGAGAAAGAAAAACAGCACAAAUUGCCCAUAAAUUUUUGUAAGGUUUUGUUUCUUUUCGUUUCUCAGAGUUGAGCAGAACUCAUUGUCGGAUAAUUAAAAGAAAGAAGAUCAAGUUUAAGUUCAAGUUCUCUGAUUGUUAAGAAGCUGAAAUUGCCAGUACUUUGUAACAUGUAAUUAAGCAGCUUCUUAUAGCAAUCAGGGGACUUGCACUUGUGCUGAUCUUUCAUUUAUGAUUAAAGUUAUUUAGUGGAUUCUAUACUUAGCAAUUGGAAUUGCUUGUCAAAGAAAGAAAGAAAUUAAACUCUAGUGGAAACUGGGAAACUUUGCAAAAGGUGAAGGAGUGAAGAAGCUAUUCUUAUCCUGAGAUCCAGUUGUUAACAAACAUAGUAAGCAUUUUAUUUUUCUACUUAAUGGUUUUUUAUUAUUGUUUUUAUUUUAUUUUUUAUAAUUUAGUAGUCCAGAAUAAUAUAAAGCAUAUCGAGCAGACUCUUGCAGAAGAUACAUCACUUUUCAAAAAUUUGAACUUAAUUAUAUAUCUAAAAUUUCAACACAAAAUUUUAGUCAACUAAGAAAGAGAGAAGAAUUUAUGAAUCUGGGCCUUGGGUUUCUUGAAUCCUGGUCUAUUAGGUGCCUGAUUAACAAUAAAUUAUUGAUUUAUUGCAUAUUAUUAGUAAUUCAGGAGUUUUAUGAUUUGAGACUUCUACGUUGAGGUAUGUUAAUCAGGCGAGCAUUGGCUUCAGCAGCAUCUACCUCAAAGUGAAUUUGAGUGAGAUUGGCUUUAGCUAAAAACAAAUCAUCAUCACUAUUUCGAACAACCACACUUGCAAACUCACAGAUCGUGACUCUGAAAAUGCAGCAUCCACAUUGCCUCCACAACUUUUGGCCGCCCUAUUCGCAGCAGCUUGAGAUGACUGAACAUCUCAAUCUUGGAACAAUUCCAUGAAGAUCCAUAUUCUUCUCAUUGAACAGCUACAUUAAAAACACUGAGGCUGCAACAGGCGAUGUAAAUGCUUAAUCUAUUACACAAUAGACAUGUCCCGAUCAGAUGAUGUGGGUUGCAAUUGCAAAGGACAGAUUCUCCACAUGGGCAGGCAGCACACCUAUUAGAAUGAAUAUGCUCAACGGCGAGGUCUUGACAAUGGCAACGCCAAAAUAUCUGCUCAUUUUGAAAGGGAAGGAACAUCUCAGUAAUAAAGCCUUCUAUUCCAACAUCCUUCACCAGCUGGAAGGAAGAGCUCAGGGACUCUACCAUUGAUAUCCAAAACUUGUAAUGCUACACCAAACCUUACGUCAGUUCUAAAGAGGUACAUUGAGUUUAAGUGAAUUCUAAAAAGCCGGAGUUUUUCAUUAUUUUUAUACAUUUAUUUAAAAGAAUUACAAAAUUUAAGUCAAACCACGUAAUUUUUAUAUAAAAUCACAUACUAAAAUAUUUUUAUAUAAAUUUCUAAAAAAAAUAUAUUUAUAUAAGUUAAUCUAAAAUUUUAUAAUUUUUCAUUCAAUAAACACAUAAAGAUAUUGCACUUGAAAUAUAGUUCAAGUGGUAAGAGAGUGAGAGAUUUUGAAUUCGAGUCUUCUCUACACUCUAGAAUUCGGCCGAGUGCAAAAGAUAGAUUAAGCAUAUAUUUUUAAUUAUUUUUGGAAUUGUUGGUUUAUAGGUUUUAAGGUACCAAAUUAUUGGCUCAAAAGAAACAAAAACACUUCUAAGAGAAAGAAAAAAAAAACAUCAACCUUAUCAAACCCAAUUAAAUAUGUCCUCAUGUAUAAAUUAAGCCUGUGGAAAUAAGUUUCCUCAUUCCAAUGUAAUCAAGGCCAUAAAUCUAGCAAGUCUCUCCCAAAUCCUUCCAUCAACACAUCGUGUGUUUGCACCAAGUGAAUGUUUCACCUUUAUGAUCAAAAUCUAACAACCCAUGCUUGUCUCGGCAACCAAUUAAAACAAUUUAAUAUUUACUGUGUGACCACUUCAACUUUAGUUCAGAUAUUCCAGCCUACAUUUAUACAACUGUAUGAUAGAGUUUCAGUAAAAGUAGUCAAAUUAUAUUCAGUUUAGAUAGUCCUACCUUAUAGCAUCAAAUCAGUUUGUAAUUUCUUAAUAUUAUCUUUGGUUGUUGUAAAUCUGCUAUAAAUAUGAAUAAAAUAUCAGUAAAGAACCACUGAACCAUUAUUCCAAACAUUCUUAAUUUUUCUCUUGGUAUCAAAGCCAAAUCUUGGCCAACGCCAAAAACAAGCCAAAAAUGGCCACUCCAACCUGCAAAAUAAAAUUUCACUCACUUAAUACAAUGCGAUCAAACUUGAUCCAACAAAUUAUCUCCUAUGGGAGACAAUGAUCAUGUCAGUCAUCAAAGGCCACAAAUUGGAUGGCUAAAUUCUUGGUACCAAACCAUGUCCUCCUGAAUUUAUGCCAAGAACCACACCGGGUAGUACAAUAAAAAUACCCAGUUCAGAAUAUGAAGAAUGGGUCUCACAUGAUCAGUUGCUAUUAGGAUGGUUAUAUAGCACCAUGAAUCCAAAUAUAGCUUCACAAAUAAUGAAGACAUCAACUUCCAAGGAGUUAUGGGAUGCAGCAAAAGAGCUUUCAGGUGCACACACAAAAUCCAGAGUCAUAUACUAUAGAGGUGAAUUGCAGAAAACAAGGAAAUGAGGAAUGAAGAUGGAGGAAUACUUGACCACAAUGAAGUCAUUUUCUGACAAUCUGACAUUAGCAGGUUAGAACAACUCAACAGCUAUCAAACAGGAGGUAUUAAUGUGAGCCAAGCUGCAGCUCAUAUUGCAAUAAACAAAUCUGAACCCAAGUUCACCAAUUCAAAUUAUGGAAGAGGACAAAAUCAACCUACAAAUAACUACAGCAGAGGCACUAGAGGAAGAUUUCGAGGAAGGAAAGGACGAAAUAAUGGCAAUAGACCUAUAUGCCAACUUUGCGACAAAGUAGGCCACACUGCUGCAGUUUGUUGGAAUAGAUUUGAUUAAAAUUUCACAGAUUGAGGAGCCAGCCAUCAUGUCACCAAUAGUUUGGAUUGUUUACAGCAAAAACAAGGUUAUACUAGUAAGAACUUUCUUGUCGUAGGCAAUGGAAGUAAACUUGAUAUUAGCUAUGUAGGUAAUUCAAGAUUUCCUACUCAACGGAAGAAUUUAUUGCUUAAAAAUAUGUUAUAUGAUCCCAGCAUCACAAAAAAUUUGUUAAGUAUCUCUCAAUUGAUGACUGACAAUAAGGUAAAUGUUGAGUUUAACUCUUUUGGUUGUUUUGUGAAGGACAAGCUAACGAGACUAGUGAUUCUACAAGGGAAGCUUGAAGAUGGUCUGUACAAGUUUGAAGCUGUUUCCAAUCCAAUUAAGCCUAACAUCACAAAAUUAAAAUCUAUAGUCAUUUCAAUUUUAGCAAAUUUAUCAAAUUUAGAGUCUGUUAGUUCUUUUAAU